Molecule: transfer RNA, 56 nt
Filed under: Ortleppascaris sinensis
Lineage: Eukaryota; Metazoa; Nematoda; Chromadorea; Rhabditida; Ascarididae
Description: tRNA-Cys
Source: RNAcentral
GGACUUUUAGUAUAUAUUAGUAUUCCUAAUUGCAGAUUGGGAGGUUUUUAGGUCUU